Molecule: long non-coding RNA, 1574 nt
Organism: Gossypium raimondii (Peruvian cotton)
Lineage: Eukaryota; Viridiplantae; Streptophyta; Magnoliopsida; Malvales; Malvaceae
Exons: 2
Source: RefSeq, a predicted model, not a curated record
UGUCAUUCAAUCCUUAUCUUUGUACUCGGUUUUAGAAGAUUGAGAAAUCAUUGCCUUUAAUUUCACUCAAGGUACAACACCACCACAUGCAUUGCACAUAGAUGAUGAAAAGGAAAUCAAACUUGUAAACAAAGGCAUUUGAGAUAAUAAAGGACAUUAAUUUUCCUCCAACAAAGGGUCAACGCUCAUCUGUUAUUGCUUUUUUUAUUUUCCUUUUUUUGGUGGUUGAUAUCCUUUGUUUCUCAAUCUCUGCUGAAGCACUUUUUUUUUGGUUAACUUUGUAUCCUAUUCUUAACAAGCAAAAGCGUCGAUUUGAUACAUUGCAUGUAGAGCUUCGAUUACCCUGUUGAGGUCUCAAAUCUCUCGUGAUUGAAGGCCUACCAAGACACAGGAUGUUGGUAUCCCUGGACUUGCUCGCCAAGUUAGCAUUUUCCAUCACUAGAGUGACAACUCAUGCCAUAUCUGCAUCAAGGAUUUGAGGGGGAAACACAAAAUAAUCUUUGAAGAUAAAAAUGUCUGCAUAUUGUGAUACACGGAAAAGAUAAAAGAUUUCCAUAUCCAAAUUGCCAAAAAUGAAUGUAUAAUAAUAUAUACUUUAGAAAAUGUUAGUGCAAUAUUCUUUAAGAGUUUAAUUAAGGACUGACUUAUAUUGAGGGAUAAAAAAAAACCCAAGUGUUUUAUUUUAGAGUUUAUUAUAUUUUAGGAUAUCAUAUAUUCAUAUGUAUUAUUAUAAUUAUGUUAUAUAUAUAUAUAUAUAUAUUAUAUACAUAUUGAUUAAACACAAUUUUAGUAUCAAAAUUGAGAAGGCCUUUGGAUUUGGUGUUCGGCGCAUACAAUUGGUACGAUUCGUAAUUGUCGUGUUUGGUCCACUGAAGAAUAAAUUAAUGCGACCAAUUGAGUAAGUGGUUGGAUCUGUCAAGUGAAUUAACGAUCAAGUUUGAAUGACCCGCGCAAUUGAGGUUGUUGAUUUGAGUCGGGUUCCUCUAGUUUGCAAAGUUGUAGAGGAAUUAAAUUGUAGAAGCUAAUUUCAAGGUUAUUCGCUUGGUAAGAGUUAGUUGCCGUGUUAUUCUUGCAAUUAAUUUAAAUACAAAGGGGCUAGCGAUUUGAGAAUCGGAUUAACCAACCAAAGUUAGCUUUAGUCAUUAUGUAUUGAACAGAAGCAAAAAGCUUUAAUAACGGUUGGACGAUAGUAAAAAGUCAUAGCAAAUCCUAUAGCUACUUAUACCAAAAAACAAGUAAGCGUAAUUACUCCUAGACAAUAAAAUAUGUUAACAUGAGGAGGAACAUAUUUACUAGUUAUGUCAUCUACAAUCGCCUAAAUUUCGAGGCGUUCCUCAUAAAAAGUUUGAAAUUUCUUAAUCUUUUCAUUCAAUUUUAUCUGAAGACACAAAAGACUGAAAAUCCAAAAGCUCUUUUUUGCAGUUGUAAUUAUAAAGCCAAAAAAUUAAGUUAGCGCAAUCAUCUUUAUGUUGAUCGUUACAAACCUCUUGAAUCUUCUAUUUACCUACUUAUUUGUAUCUCAAGCCUUGAGCUUUCAUUAUAUCAGUUUACUCAAUUUUAAUUUUGUCUGUUUA